GACCGCAGCCUCCAGUCUCAGAGCUCCACGGGCACCUCGGGUCCUCCCGUUACCUCCCAGCAUGCACCUGGCCCAGCUCAACCAGACAGGACAGCCUUGAUCCCAGCCCACACCCUGGCUCCCCGUUCAGCAGCCCCUAUGUCCUGCUCCUGGUCCUGGAGCUGCCCCUGCUCCUGAGCGUGCUGGGUGCUGUCCUGUGGGUGAACAGACCUCAGAGAAGCUCUAGAAGCAGGCAGAGUUGGCCAGAGGGUGAGAACCAGUAGCAUCUGCUGUCCUUCAAGGCCCUGCACUGAGACAGAACCCCUCUGCGGGACUGGAAUGACCUCCUGACCACUCCCUCCCGGGCUGCUCUGUCCGCCUCUCCUGGAAUUCUCUGUGAGCCUCCUUUUCCCUGUGCCUGAUCCUCGAGUCACACGUGAACCUGAUGGACACGGACGCCCUGAGCUGUGACUCCAUGUCUCAUGUGAACGCGCUGGCCAGCUGAACCUCAGGCUGUCACCAACACCUCCAAGUGCCUGAUGCCCUCUCUGCACCUUUCCAUUUCUCCAGGAGCUUGGCAUUGCUUCCUUCACCAUUUUCACAGGGAGAGGCAGGUCCAAGACUCCACUGCACCUUUACCACCAUAAUGGCCCACACUCCCCGGGUCCAGGAGUGCAGAAUAUGUGGCUGCUGCCAUUUGCUGAGUGUGUCAAUCCAACGAUGCUUUCGAACUUUAAGAAAUGACAAUACAUAGAUUCUGGAACUAUCAUGCCCACUAAGUCAGACCUGGGUGAGAA
Molecule: long non-coding RNA, 776 nt
Organism: Nomascus leucogenys (northern white-cheeked gibbon)
Lineage: Eukaryota; Metazoa; Chordata; Mammalia; Primates; Hylobatidae
Exons: 2
Source: RefSeq, a predicted model, not a curated record